This is a small nucleolar RNA of Juglans regia (Persian walnut), 109 nucleotides long. The record is from RefSeq and is a predicted model, not a curated record. NCBI's taxonomy places the organism in Eukaryota, Viridiplantae, Streptophyta, Magnoliopsida, Fagales, Juglandaceae.
GCUUAAAGCUGACUUAUAAAAAAAAAAAAAUAAUUGUUGCUUAAAGCUGAAAUCUAAUACUUGUACUCCUCUUUGUUUGGUUUGCAAGUUUGGCUCUUCUGUUACAGUU